ACCUCAUCCUCCUCUGCCCCCGAUUCCUUCUCUCCUCGCAGCAGCCCCCGCCCCCUUCUCAAAGCUCCGCCAUCCCCGUCCUGUACUCCCUUGGAGAAGAUCUAUUUUUUUCGACGGGAGGAGUCAUUCCGGCUUGAUCCGUCCUGUACUCCCUUGGAAAAGAUCGAUUUUUUUCGACGGGAGGAGUCAUUCCGGCUUGAUCCGUCCUGUACUCCCUUGGAAAAGAUCGAUUUUUUUCGACGGGAGGAGUCAUUCCGGCUUGAUCCGGUGGUGGCGAUGCCGGCCAGAUCCUGCGACGGCGCCGACGCGAGCCACCAAGGGCCGUGGACUCCCUCUCUGGCUGCGCUUCCGCCAAACCCUAGCGGCUCGGCGUCCCGGCGACCAUCUCCGAGGUGGUUUCUUUCUGCAGCAGCCAGCCCAUGGAGAAGGCCCGGACAAAUUCUCGGAGCAGUACGCCCGCCGCUCCAGCACCUUUCCUCACCGCCGUCGUCAUUCAAGGUUCUCUCUGUGGUUGAAAUUUGGCAAGAUGAAGUUGUUCCUAUGGUUUCUGUCAUGAAAAUUAAAAUGACACCUUUGGAGUCUUGUGCUGACAUGGGUGGUUUAGAUGCUCAAAUUCAAGAGAUCAAAGAAGCAGCUGAACUUCCUGAGCUAUAUGAGGACAUUGGAUUCAGGCCUCCGAAGGGAGUCAUACUGUAUGGGGAACAGGGAAAGCUUUACUUGCAAAGGUACAGAAUAUUGCCACUCAUCAGUAUCUGCAGCAUCUAAGGUGGAAGUAAGAUGUUACUUAUGGACGAGUUAACGGAAUGCCAUUCUAAUUUCUACGACAUGAAUAUGUACUAUGUUUCCUAGAAGUUCACUUGAUAGCCUUUUCGUUGUAGGGGCAUUUUUAUUGCCUAAUUUGCUCCAUAAUUGAGUUGCGAAAAUUUGAUAGCUUCAGAAUGUCAUCCAGUGAAUUAUGGAGCUCUGAGACAGACGGAUGCACUGCUGUCAAUAAAUGUGAGGUUCAGAGGAGUUCUGUCAAAUGCCACAACAUGCUUAUCAUAUCAUAGGUUGGUUCCUUCCCACCAUUGCACUUGUCCCGGCUUCUUAUAUAGAAGAUGAUUUGGAAGCUCGAAAUAGAAAAUCAAUUAAUGUAAUGCAGAUUACACAUUAAGCAACUUCUGAAAGCAAAGACCAAGAGAAAUGUGGUGAGCUCUGUAGGAGUAAAGUGAUGUAACAGUCUCUUUGAUUCAAGGAAUUUUUUGUACAAUUUCCUUUCUUUACGAAGUUUGAGGGCACCUGCUUGGAAAAAAAAAUUGAUGCUCUUUGAUGUCUAUUUUAAGCGUACCUUCUGUAAGUCGAUACACCAUUCUAUACAUUUCACUUGUUGUACUUCAAGAUUCAUCUGCACUAUUGUACAUAUAUUUUAUUAUUAAUUUAUUAUCUAUUCAUGAAUUAUUUUGUAAAUUUUACAACAGAUGAUGGCAGAGUCAGUGAUGAUUAGUGCAUCUCAGAUUGUAAUAGACCUUGAUCAUGUAGUGACUUAAUUUCUCGGCCUCUUAAGAGUAAGACUAAAUUUUUGCGUGAUACGAAUCAUGAAAAUAUUGCUGCACCAACACACGUGCUCAAUUAGUGGAUAUAAUAAUCGAUAGAUAGAUUCUUGGUCCUUACCCGUACUAGCUUGGAAAAUAAAUUUGCUGUAGGUGAUGUAACCCCCCUACACAAUCUAGCUUGCACUUAGUAUUAUUAAGAGGGCUUGCAUAUAUGAUGUCAAACAAAAAGAGGGCUCACAUAUAUGUCCUCUGUUUAACAAGGAGAUGAACUGGAAUAAAUACUAGGUACAUAAUAUCUAUUGUAAAUUAUAUUUAUUACUUAAUACGUGCAGCUUGAAAAAGUAAAGCACUAAUGGAGCAAUAAGUGGAAGUCCAAUUCAGAAAGAAGUAGUUUGUUUUAUAUACUAGAUUGGACAAUGCUUUUCUGCUCGAAGUCUAUUACUGAAUCUUAAAUCAAGAGGAAGUUAUCUAACUGGUCUUCCAUCUCAUUUUCUUCUUAAGGAACCAGGAAGUUUCGCGAAGUCAAUACAGUGGGCGACAGAGCAGCUAAGUCAUUUAAGGUAACACACCAGGCCUGGAUUAACAUGCCAACUUUCUUGUGAUUUGCCUACAGUUAGAUGAAUUUACCAUCAAUUUACAUAGUGUACAUAAUAUAUGGACAAGUCAGGUUGCCACAGAAUUUUAAUCUAACAUAAUCAUAUCGACGGCCACGACGGACAAGCAACAACGCGGAGCAGGGACAGGUGGUGGUAAGAGUAAGUAUCACUUGUCAUGUUUAACUCAUGGCCAACAAAGAGCAAGUAUCACUUGAAACUCACUACAGAGCAAGUAUCACUUGAAACUCACUACAAGAAGAAUACUGUUGUGACGAUUAUAUACAUAUAUGUUCCACUUGGUUGCUCAGUUGGUAUUAAUUUUUUAUCACUUCCUUUUUCUUGCAGUCAAGUUUUGAAACUGGGCUUUGAUGAGAAGUUCAUUCAUAUAUGGGAAUUCUACCUUGUAUACUCUGCCACUGGUUUCAAGUCAUGAGUAGUUAGAGAUUACCAGGCACGGAUGUGUAUAUGUGUGCUCUUUGUAUAUGUUUACCUGCAUUAUUACUAGACAAAUGGAAGUCAUAUACUCCCUCUGGUCUUCAAAAAACAUCUUUCUGGAAACUGUUUGGUGGUUUCCAAUGCAGACUAAAAUUUAAGUUGAUGUCGCUUUCUACAAUUAUGUUAAUCUCAACCAUAAGAUUGAGAGAUCAGUAGACAACAGAUCUUUGAGUGAAUAGUAGUAAAUUAGAACCUUUGGUGAACUUGUAGAAAGCAAGCUUUCAUCGUUUGAGAUUGUAAAUGACCUGGGACAGACCUGAGUCAUUUACAAUCUCAAUUGAUAACUUUGAAUCUUUGCGUCUUCUGUAUAUAUAUAUUUCAGCACAUUUUAUAUCAACUGUUAACUUUGAAUCUUUGUGUCUUCCAUCAGAUCAUGCUUACUGUUGGAUUCGCACAUGAAUAACUAAAAGCACCAUGCAUUACACAUUUCCUUCAUUUUAGCCAUUAAACUUAUGUAUCUGGUGUUAAUUUAGUAUGAUUUCUUGUACUGAGUGUAUCUUCAUCUUAGUUAGGAAGGUCUCUGAGUGUCUUUGGUCAUCCUAAAUUUUAUGUGGAUUCUUUUUCCAGUCUUUUUUAGGUUUGCCAUACAAUAAUUAUUAUAGCCCUUGAUCUGCACAUGCCCAAUUUCCUUAUAUUGUACAGUUUCCCAUUCUAUAAUAACAGCCUUUCUGGUUUCUGCCUUGCUAAAAUGUUGAAGCACGGCAACAUGUUUAAUACUGUCAGAACUAAGCAUAUGGUAGAGAAAGGGUUGCUUGCAUGCCAUCCAUGUCAAAAAGAAAAUGUUAAAUCCCCUCUUCCAUUUUCCUUACCUUGAAUCUAACGCUUUGUUGAUCUGUUUUUAUCGUCUAGAUGUUCUGCAACUAUAUACACAAUAGAUACUGUCUGCCUGAACUAUAGUUCCACUCCUUGAGAAGAUGAGAUAAACUAAGAAUGGGGCAAAGAAAUUCCGACUCUUCCUGCUCGCAGGCAGGGCCUGCUAUGACUCCUAUGGAUGGCAUUACCGCAAUUAUCGAGCCUUCAAAUUUUGAAGAUAACAAGUAGCCCGAAUCCAAGAAGAAAACUAAUUCAAUUCUGCCAAGACUACUAUAUUUUGGGUAUCUUUGUUCCAACUUUGCAUUGACAUCACUUGGAAAAUGUUUAUGUGUUCCUUUGAUUUUCACCAAGAAAAUAAACAUUCUGAAAUCUUUAUAGGAUAUUUGAUUCCAUUUUUACUAAAGAAUAGACUAAAUAGACUACGUCCUUACAUUCUCCAUGGAGAAGUUGUCCACCCAGUUGAUUUGCCAUUGAUUUGUGACAUUUUUUGUGCAGUUAUGAUUUCUGUGGUUUGCUUGGUACCGUCAAAAGAUAAUUUAUGGGUUUGUACUUCUCCUUUUGUUUAUAGAGAAUGGGUCAUCCUAGAGUAUGAAUUGAAAAUUUUAUACCCCCAUGAAUUUGACAUGGUUUGA
RNAcentral lists this ribosomal RNA (4068 nucleotides) under Triticum aestivum (bread wheat). RNAcentral's name for it is "partial small subunit ribosomal RNA". Lineage: Eukaryota; Viridiplantae; Streptophyta; Magnoliopsida; Poales; Poaceae. The record is from RNAcentral.